This is a long non-coding RNA of Apis florea (little honeybee), 1190 nucleotides long. NCBI's taxonomy places the organism in Eukaryota, Metazoa, Arthropoda, Insecta, Hymenoptera, Apidae. The record is from RefSeq and is a predicted model, not a curated record.
UAAUCCUUCAAACGCCGCCAAACAUUUUUCGAUCGAAAACUCUUCCUCUCGCUCAAAAAAAAAAAAAAAAGAAAAAGAAAAAAAAAAAGAAAAAAACGUUCAAAUCUGCCAAGCCUGUAACGGUCGACGAACGCUCCGACGCCUGGCACGCAAUUUACGCGUACCCAUCGGCGGAUGGCGUGGCACUGUUAUCAAGCCAAGGGCUCCUCGCCACGAACCCCCAGCCGACGCCUAAGUUGGCGAGCGCAUGCGCGUGCCACGGUCCCGGAACGAUGAAAAACACUAGCGGGUUCGUGUCUGUGAACGGGCGCAAGCCGUUGGACGCUGUUGGUGUAUGGCGGCGCACUGCCACCUCUACGUCGACGCCGGCAGCACGGUCGGUAACCAGAUUGGGCUCCUCUUCUCUUCGACAAUCAAAAACAGGGGCUGGGACGAGGCGUUGUUUAUAGCGGGCGGAAAGGUCGAGCUCCUAGCUUCCCGCUCGGCUUCUAGGCUUAGUUUAGAAUGUUCAGUGGUGUGACCUCGGCCGUACAGACGACUCGUCCAGUUGAUUUUUGGGUUCGUGUCCGAGGAUUAUCGAUCGGAUACCCGCCGAUUCAGAGAUUUUUCGCCGAGGAAAAUUUCUUUAAAAAUAAAAUCUCUCUCCUCUUUAUGAACGAUAAUGGAACGCCGUGAGGUGGAUUAUCGGCUUCGAGGAGAAAUAUAUUUUUAAUUUCGUUGGAUCGAAUGGAGGAAGGGAAAAAGGAGGAGGAGGAGGAGGAGGAGGAAGAAAACGAGUAUAUCUUUGUUCGGUGGAAUAUGGAGACCAUUAUAAAAAUUUACAACCGUGCGUGUUUCCGUUUGUAUCUCAAUUUCGCUUCGUUUUUUCCCAACACGGUCCAUUUACCGUACCCAUUCCCGGCAAAUAAAGCACAAAUAAACUACUUGGAAGCUGGAUGGAAAGACGUCUGUGCAAGAAAAUGGAAACAAGCACGAAUUGGAUAAUGUCAAAGAAGGGGGAGAGGUGAAGAGGAAGAAGAAGAAGAGGAAGAAGAAGAAGAAGAAGAGGAAGAGGAGGAAGAAGAGGAGGAAGAAGAGGAAGAAGAGGAAGAAGAAAGAUAAGGAUGCUCUCGUAACUCUUUCUAAGCGCGAAACUUGUCCCGGAUGGAAAAUUAUUUCAUCUCGACGAGAAGAAUAAGUUUUGUGUAAAA